Molecule: long non-coding RNA, 2103 nt
Organism: Mus musculus (house mouse)
Lineage: Eukaryota; Metazoa; Chordata; Mammalia; Rodentia; Muridae
Product: predicted gene, 30471
Exons: 3
Source: RefSeq, a predicted model, not a curated record
UUGAACUAAAUCUUUACCUGGAGAAGCCAGUGCAUUUUUUCCAAUUACCUAACUGACAAAAUGGUGUGAUCAGAGCUACAGAUCAAAACACACUCAGAAAUGUUUGACAAACAACAAUGAUAAUUGAAAAUCAACUGUCUCAAGGUACAUCAUUGCUGGUAUAAAUUGACAUAUACUAUGUAGCCAUUAAAAUACAUGUCUUUAAACUAAUGUUUAAUGCCAUGGGGAGAAGACACACCGUUAAAUAAUGUUAGCAUGUUUUUGGCUAGAGAGUCUAGCAGUCAAAGAGUAAUUGUGAAAUAACUCAGCCACUUCAUCUGCACUCUGAAGGGGAUGUAUGGAUCACAAAAUUAUUUUAAAGGCACUUUUUGCUUCCUGUCAACUCUUCUUACAGAGUGGCUCUUCUGGUGCACUUUGGAACUGCCUGUGUAAACAUUUCUCUUGUGCAUUCUCCUCUGCCCUAAGCUGGAGGGAAAGUCUAGCCUGGAAAGAGGCAAGAAUGAGCAGAAGUCAGAGGCAUUAAAUCAUCUGUCAGAAAUGCCACCUAAUAACCAACACCCAGCACCUAGUACUAAGCUCCCAGCAUCCAGUACUCAACACCCAGCACCAAGUACUCAGCACCCAGUACUCAACAUCCACCGCAGUUCUUUUGUUGAUCUUUUGUCAGAUCCCCUGGAAAUGGAUUUCCACCACAUCACAGUCCUACUGUUGGGACAGUAUUUGUCUCUCAUCUGAGGCCGGUGAUCUGGGCUUGGGCUAGUCCAACCUCUUGAGAAGCAGUAAAUCGCAAAGUAAUUGUUACUUGGCAGAUGUAUUAAACAUGGGUGGGCCUAAGACAUGAUCAGCAGGAAUAACAUUGGAUUGUUUGACUGAGGACAAACUGGACACAGAAGCAAAUAAAGGAAAUGCAGGGGCAAGAACAACACAGGAUGUUUGCCACCACCAUGGAAAGACACAAGAGCCCCAGUAAGGGCGCAGCUCUGAGAGAGUGAGAGAGUGAAACCGUGGGUUCACAAUGCAAGACUGAGCCAACUCCAUCAGCAUUUUAAUGGAAAGUUACUUUAGCUUACCUUGGGUCUCAUGUAUUCAGCUUCCAGAGAUGGUGUGCUCUCUGCAGCCCUCUGCAGUGCCCUCUUGAUGUAGCUCGAGGGGAAAGCAUGCGAUUAGCAUACACUUAAAAAAAAUCUAUCAUCUUUCUUCUGGAUCCUGAACAUAACUCAUUCUGAAACUUCACUUCUACUCCCUGGGGAGUAGCAAGAGGCAGAGCGUGUGGAUCAGAAAAGAAAAUGGACAGAUAUGCAUGAAGUGCGGAUGAGAUAAUGCCUGGUUAUGUGUUGCCAAGGCUUCUCUUACCCUUGAUUUCUGCAUCUUCCCAGACCCCCUGAGAGGUCAGGAGUAGGCUCUUCCCUGAAACCACAGGGGGGAAGGAAAUAACAUCAGAACAGCAACCUAUUGACUAGUCUGCUGUCACUCCCAAGCUGCUGCUCCUGCAUCUUAUUCUGCCUUACCUGCUGCUUCAGAAGUGCUGUGCCUGUACCGACUGUAGCCAUGUGCUGUGCUGGGUGAGCUGGGUGACAGUGAUGGAGGAGAAAGGAGCCCAACUCUAACUGCACUGGAGACACAGCAGCACAUUCCUGGGGCUCUUAGCGGGGAGCUUAGGGGUCCUGCUUCUUCAGUCCCACAUAUGGAUGCAAGAGCUAAAAGAGGCCAACAGCCUGGGCUCCAUCACCCAGUGCUCCCUCAGUUGCCACGCUAGCUGUCACAUCCUCUUGAUGUGACACUUUUCUCAUCCAGCCACUUGCUGCCUAUUGUCCUAUUUGUCAACUCCUGGGGCCCAGUGUUUUCCCCAGAGUCAAGAGCUGUGUUGUGGAAGAGGAGGGGUCAGAAGGGUAAGUAGGGCGUGCAAACACAAAACAGAGAAAGCCAGAAUGUGUGAUCUCGUCAUUGAGGGACUUUCCGGGCCCUUUAACAUCUAGGUUGAAGUUGCAAAUUCUCAUGAGAAAAGUAGUAGCAGUGGUCUUUCAACUUAUUUCACAAAAGAAUGUGUCUCUGCACUCACCUAAACGAUGGCUUUAGAAGCAUGUGUGUGCACAAGUGUGAGUG